RNAcentral lists this ribosomal RNA (253 nucleotides) under uncultured bacterium. RNAcentral describes it as "partial 16S ribosomal RNA". It matches the Rfam family "Bacterial small subunit ribosomal RNA", at positions 524 to 776 of the family's 1533-position model. The record is from RNAcentral.
UACGUAGGCAGCGAGCGUUGUUCGGAAUCACUGGGCGUAAAGCGUGCGCAGGCGGACUAUCCAGUCAGGGGUGAAAGCCCAAGGCUUAACCUUGGAAUUGCCUUUGAAACUGAUAGUCUGGAGUGUGUGAGGGGGUAGCGGAAUUCCGAAUGUAGAGGUGAAAUUCGUAGAUAUUCGGAGGAACACCGGUGGCGAAGGCGGCUACCUGGCACACAACUGACGCUGAGGCCCGAAAGCGUGGGGAUCAAACAGG